UGGGGAAUAUUGCGCAAUGGGGGAAACCCUGACGCAGCAACGCCGCGUGAGUGAGGAAGUAUCUCGGUAUGUAAAGCUCUAUCAGCGGGGAAGAAAGAGGACGGUACCCGACUAAGAAGCCCCGGCUAACUACGUGCCAGCAGCCGCGGUAAUACGUAGGGGGCGAGCGUUAUCCGGAUUUACUGGGUGUAAAGGGAGCGUAGACGGCGUCGCAAGUCUGAAGUGAAAGCCCGUGGCUCAACCGCGGAACCGCUUUGGAAACUGCGAGGCUGGAGUGCUGGAGAGGUAAGCGGAAUUCCUGGU
This 303-nucleotide ribosomal RNA is filed under the name uncultured bacterium. RNAcentral's name for it is "bacterial SSU rRNA". It matches the Rfam family "Bacterial small subunit ribosomal RNA", at positions 355 to 674 of the family's 1533-position model. The record is from RNAcentral.